AAGUCGUAACAAGGUUUCCGUAGGUGAACCUGCGGAAGGAUCAUUAUUUUAAAAUCAAUAAUGUUUUGUGAAUUUUGUGUAAAAGAGAGUGUAGUGUGUGUUUUAAUUAGUACGCACUUUCACAUCAUUUUACAUAAGAAUGAAAUUAUAUAGUCUAAUAAUUAAAAUAAUUAAACAACUUUUAACAAUGGAUCUCUUGGCUCUU
RNAcentral lists this unclassified non-coding RNA (205 nucleotides) under fungal sp. Its description in RNAcentral is "partial internal transcribed spacer region". The stretch from base 1 to 46 matches the Rfam family "Eukaryotic small subunit ribosomal RNA", at positions 1786 to 1831 of the family's 1831-position model. Lineage: Eukaryota; Fungi. The record is from RNAcentral. RNAcentral also lists the same sequence under 1 other name.